UAUAUCCUGUUUUGGCCAUCACUUUUCAAGAAUUGGAAAGAGUUCAGAGAAGAGAGCAACAAGAAAGCAUGAGCGCAAGGCCUGUGCACAGCCCAGUACAGCACCUGGGAAGGGAGCUGCGUGACUUUCAAAAUGGAGCCAUUAAAGGACCUGAAGGAUAAGCAGUGAUUCGUGUUGCAGAUGAAACUUUUGCUGUGACACCAUCAUUUAUCGAGGGAGAGCAAAGGACUAAACCAUCUGCU
This 242-nucleotide long non-coding RNA is filed under the name Apteryx owenii (little spotted kiwi). RNAcentral describes it as "lncRNA (ENSAOWG00000014671.1)". The record is from RNAcentral. Lineage: Eukaryota; Metazoa; Chordata; Aves; Apterygiformes; Apterygidae.